Molecule: ribosomal RNA, 294 nt
Filed under: uncultured actinomycete
Lineage: Bacteria; Bacillati; Actinomycetota; Actinomycetes; Actinomycetales
Description: partial 16S ribosomal RNA
Rfam family: Bacterial small subunit ribosomal RNA
Source: RNAcentral
AUUGGAUGAGCCCGCGGCCUAUCAGCUUGUUGGUGAGGUAACGGCUCACCAAGGCGACGACGGGUAGCCGGCCUGAGAGGGCGACCGGCCACACUGGGACUGAGACACGGCCCAGACUCCUACGGGAGGCAGCAGUGGGGAAUAUUGCGCAAUGGGCGAAAGCCUGACGCAGCAACGCCGCGUGAGGGAUGACGGCCUUCGGGUUGUAAACCUCUUUCAGCAGGGAAGAAGCGAAAGUGACGGUACCUGCAGAAGAAGCACCGGCUAACUACGUGCCAGCAGCCGCGGCCGAAU